UGGGGCAUAGCUUAAUCGGUAGAGCAGCGGUCUCCAAAACCGUCGGAAUAGGUUCGAGUCCUAUUGCCCCAG
This 72-nucleotide transfer RNA is filed under the name Enterococcus faecalis. RNAcentral describes it as "tRNA-Trp". It matches the Rfam family "tRNA". From Rfam's summary of the family: Transfer RNA (tRNA) molecules are approximately 80 nucleotides in length. Their secondary structure includes four short double-helical elements and three loops (D, anti-codon, and T loops). Further hydrogen bonds mediate the characteristic L-shaped molecular structure. tRNAs have two regions of fundamental functional importance: the anti-codon, which is responsible for specific mRNA codon recognition, and the 3' end, to which the tRNAs corresponding amino acid is attached (by aminoacyl-tRNA synthetases). tRNAs cope with the degeneracy of the genetic code in two manners: having more than one tRNA (with a specific anti-codon) for a particular amino acid; and 'wobble' base-pairing, i.e. permitting non-standard base-pairing at the 3rd anti-codon position. The record is from RNAcentral. RNAcentral also lists the same sequence under 1 other name. Lineage: Bacteria; Bacillati; Bacillota; Bacilli; Lactobacillales; Enterococcaceae.